RNAcentral lists this ribosomal RNA (373 nucleotides) under uncultured organism. Its description in RNAcentral is "bacterial SSU rRNA". It matches the Rfam family "Bacterial small subunit ribosomal RNA", at positions 527 to 896 of the family's 1533-position model. The record is from RNAcentral.
CGGGGGGGCAAGCGUUGUUCGGAAUUACUGGGCGUAAAGGGCUCGUAGGCGGCCAACUAAGUCAGACGUGAAAUCCCUCGGCUUAACCGGGGAACUGCGUCUGAUACUGGAUGGCUUGAGUUUGGGAGAGGGAUGCGGAAUUCCAGGUGUAGCGGUGAAAUGCGUAGAUAUCUGGAGGAACACCGGUGGCGAAGGCGGCAUCCUGGACCAACACUGACGCUGAGGAGCGAAAGCCAGGGGAGCAAACGGGAUUAGACUACCCCGGUAGUCCUGGACCCUAAACGAUGAAUGCUUGGUGUGGCGGGUAUCGAUCCCUGCCGUGCCGAAGCUAACGCAUUAAGCAUUCCGCCUGGGGAGUACGGUCGCAAGGCUG